Balaenoptera ricei (Rice's whale) is the source of this 664-nucleotide long non-coding RNA. RefSeq lists it as uncharacterized. Lineage: Eukaryota; Metazoa; Chordata; Mammalia; Artiodactyla; Balaenopteridae. The record is from RefSeq and is a predicted model, not a curated record. The transcript has 4 exons.
AGCCUCUGGAAAACAGGCUUCUCUCCAGCUGCCAGGAGUGGCCCAGGCUGGGCGAGCGGCGCGUCGGAGCCAGGGCGCGCGGAGCCGCUCCCAGUUCACGGGCAGAGAAUGAAAAUGUAAUUGUCUCCAGCGCAGCCACCCACUACCGCCCACAUCUACAAAGAGCGGCAGGGCCUGGAGUGCUUCAGGUGACCUGCAGGAGAACUGGUGUCCUUACCACAGAGCUGUACACAUACUUGGCCUGGGACUCAGAGAAACAAAAGGAGGCGACCUAGCAGGAACCAGGGAGGCUACGGGUCCGGGUGCUGCCCCCAAACCAACAAGGCAAGUUAGCAGAUCAAUCUGGGACUUGCCUGGUGGCAAAGUGGUUAAGAAUCCGCCUGCCAAUGUGAGAGGACAGGAGUUCGAGCCCUGGUCCGGGAAGAUCCCACAUGCCGUGGAGCAACUAAGCCCGUGCGCCACAACUACUGAAGCCCACGCGCCGAGAGCCUGUGCUCUGCCACAAGAGGAGCCACCGCAAUGAGAAGUCUGCGCACCACAAUGAAGAGUAGCCCCUGCUUGCCGCAACUAGAGAAAGCCUGCAGGCAGCAACGAAGACCCAACGCAGCCAAAAAUAUAAAUAAAUAAAUAAAUUUAUUUUUUAAAAAAGUAAAUAAAAGAUCAG